CCCCCACCCCACCAUCAGCUUUUGACAUCAGCCUCCCUCUGUGCUCUUCCAAACCUGAGAGCAGAAAAGGUUUUAUUUGCUCUCCUUUCCAAGCAUUCCCCGGGGGCCCUUUCUGACUGCCCAUGCUCUGCACGCAAGAUCCCCACCUGCUACUCUUGCUGCUCUUGCUGCUGCCUGGAAUGGAGUGGCCUGAGAGGAGACAGAUGGCUGCGGUUACCUCUCUCCACCCUUUCCCGAAGAGGAAGCCGAAUGCUCCAAAUGAAUGCAUGGGAAUGAAUAGGAAGAGGCAGAACCACCUGCUUGAUGGGUCCCUUUUGCAAAAAAGGAAUCUCCUUUCCCAGAGCAAGGAGUUACUGGUUGGUUCUGGAAGCAGCAGGGAUGAUUCCUCCUCAACAAAAGCACUUCUUCAAGAAUCCUGAACUAGGCAUGCCCUCAUUAUGAGGAAAAAUGUCCCAGCACACAUGCAAAUCCAGGCAUUUAAACAUUUCUUGCUAACUGCUGACAACUUUUAAAGGUAAGCACAAAACAUCACUAUGUGAAUUGUUUCUAUUAACUACACUGUUUCAGUUAUUUAUUUCACUUGGGAGUGAAGAUCAAGUGCAAAAGGGGGUAAAAAUACCAGUUCUCUGGUCAUACCUAUUAGAUAAAAGUCUUUGGUUGCAGAAAUAAGUAUAUUCAGAGCCAAAGGCAAUAUGCAAAUUGUGUUAAUGGAGUGAUAGAGAUGGAAGCUGACUAUGACAUUCAUGGUAUUCAGAAAUGACUGGAGACGUGAGACUCAGGUUUUUGGAUUCAGUAUGUCUCAUGGCGUCUGAUCUUGUGUGCGAUUUGUGCUUCUGCCCAGAUAUGGGAGUUGCGAACCUGACUUCCAUCAGCAGUGUACAUCAGGCUGUGCUGUUAAUAAAGCCUCAGGAUGACGUGUCAUUGUGGUAUGUAAAUGUGGGUAGGCAGGAAGGUGUCACUAGGAAGGUGCCUUGAAGGUAGGAAAGGUGGGGAGGCAGCGGGAGAGAAAUUAAUUCAGUGCACAUCUUAAUGCAAACCUAUGCAAUUCACAGUUCCUGAACAAAUACAAGAACCAAAUGGAGUUAUCCUUCAAAAUUCACAUUUCUCUGAAUUUUGCAAUGCAGUUCUUCAACCAAAAAAUGCCUAUGAAAAAUGUGUAUGUUAGAGGGAAGUGCACACAACAAUGGGUGUAUCGGC
RNAcentral lists this long non-coding RNA (1197 nucleotides) under Podarcis muralis (Common wall lizard). RNAcentral describes it as "lncRNA (ENSPMRG00000009868.1)". The record is from RNAcentral. Lineage: Eukaryota; Metazoa; Chordata; Lepidosauria; Squamata; Lacertidae.